RNAcentral lists this microRNA precursor (104 nucleotides) under Marmota monax (woodchuck). Lineage: Eukaryota; Metazoa; Chordata; Mammalia; Rodentia; Sciuridae. The record is from RNAcentral.
AUAUGAAUCACUGAAGAUGUUGUUAAGAUACAGACUCUGACAUAGCAGAGCUGGGCUGGAGCCUGAGAGUCUGUAUUUCCAAAAAGUUCUCAGGUGCUACUGGG